UGGGGAAUAUUGGACAAUGGGGGAAACCCUGAUCCAGCAAUGCCGCGUGAGUGAAGAAGGCCUUAGGGUUGUAAAACUCUUUCAGUCGUGACGAUGAUGACGGUAGCGACAGAAGAAGCCCCGGCUAACUCCGUGCCAGCAGCCGCGGUAAUACGGAGGGGGCUAGCGUUGUUCGGAAUUACUGGGCGUAAAGCGCACGCAGGCGGUGUAGUUAGUCAGAGGUGAAAGGCUUGGGCUUAACCCAGGAACUGCCUUUGAUACUGCUAUGCUUGAGUCCGGGAGAGGGUAGUGGAAUUCCCAGUGUAGAGGUGAAAUUCGUAGAUAUUGGGAAGAACACCAGUUGCGAAGGCGGCUACCUGGCCCGGUACUGACGCUGAGGUGCGAAAGCGUGGGGAGCGAACAGG
This 404-nucleotide ribosomal RNA is filed under the name uncultured bacterium. Its description in RNAcentral is "bacterial SSU rRNA". It matches the Rfam family "Bacterial small subunit ribosomal RNA", at positions 355 to 776 of the family's 1533-position model. The record is from RNAcentral.